Schistocephalus solidus is the source of this 57-nucleotide non-coding RNA. The record is from Rfam. Lineage: Eukaryota; Metazoa; Platyhelminthes; Cestoda; Diphyllobothriidea; Diphyllobothriidae.
UGGCUCAAUGGUAGAGCGUUCGACUCAUUUACCAAAGGUCAUGGGUUCAAAUCCCAA